RNAcentral lists this unclassified non-coding RNA (143 nucleotides) under uncultured fungus. RNAcentral describes it as "sequence contains ITS1, 5.8S rRNA gene". The record is from RNAcentral. Lineage: Eukaryota; Fungi.
CCGAGUUGCAAAACUCCAACCCCUGUGAACCUACUCUUCGUUUCCUCGGCAGGUGGCCCCCGGGGGGGGCUCCGCCGCUAGGCACCUGCCAGAGGACCGCCCAACUCUGCUAUCACUGUCCUCUGAGCCACUGUACACAGUCA